AGGAGAGAGAGGGAGGCGGAGACAAAACGGUGAGUGUUAUAGGAGAAGGGGGAACAAAAAGAAGGUUGAAAAUGGCUUUUCACCGACCUUCCAAACUAUAAUCCCAAAACCCAAAAUUGCCCUGCCCUGCCCUGCCCUGCCAAUCAAAUUCCCUUUCUAGCCCAAACGAGCCAUCUCUCUCUCUCUCUCUCUCUAUCUCUCUUCCUUUCUUUAAUUCCCUCUCUUUAUUACUACUCUCCUUCCCUCUCUCUAAAAACCCCCAAAACCAGACAAACCCAGAAGUAGAGCAGCUCUAUGUGUUUGGUGGGCUUGGCUGGGCUGCACUGUUCUUCAAUGGCCGCUGUUUUAUUCAGUGACCAAGCUGCCCUUGAUUACCACGGGCUCUCCUCUUACUCUGCCUUUGUUAAUCAAAGGUCAUUUUGGGGCAUUCGUAUAUAGAGAGAGAAGAGUCCCGGUUACAAUGUAGGGUGCUUAAAAGGCAGACAGGAUGGAGCCAGGCAAAAAUAUAUACGUAGUUUUUUCUCUCUCAAAAAAACUCACACCCCUCUUUUGUUGUUGUUGCUGUUGUUUUUUUCUUUUUUGUUGUUUUUUUUCUUUUUUUCUUUUUGUUUAAAGGAAGACGGGAGGGAAGAAGAAAGAAGAAGCAUAUGAUUCUUCUUCAACGACGGGUAUUUGUUAACACACAUCAAAAUGCAGAGGAGACAGAAAAAGGAGCAUUUUGAUGCCUUUUCUUUAACAUUGGCGAUGAAGGGGGAUUGUUAUUAUGUGGGUGACUUCUUUUCAUGCCUUCCUGUCCUUUCCUCUUAAAGCAAAUAAGGAAUUUGUGGAUUCUGAGAUGGGAUCCUGGAAAAAACUUGACAGCAGAACAGUUUUUUAUUGCAUCUAUGGCUUUUGAAAUUGAGUUCUUGAGCCUUCAAGUUGAUUUCUAUAUGCUUUGAUAUUCCUAUGGGGGCUCACUCAUUAGUUUAAGGGGAAAGAAUUAGUGGACCUAUUCAUUCUUACAUCACUUGCCCCCUUGAGUUGUUAUUUGAUUAAUUUAUGUUGUUUUAAUUGAUGUAUAGUUAGAAUACAAGGUUUGGACGAAUAGUAGUUCGAUCCUUGAGGAACAAGAUUUGAAGCCUUUCUGAAUGCAAUCAUAGAGGAUGUCCAUCCAUUAAGCCUUUAAUAGCAGAUCUCUAAGUAUACAGUCCUUCAAGGAAUCUGUAUUAAGGUUACAAGUCUCACCUGUUUCUGGUCUUCAUACGAGUUAAUGCGAAGAAAUAUAUUAUGACUCGACUGUAUUACUUACUUCCCGUUCAUGUUGAUGGAAGGCUAAGAAAACAAUGCUUGCACAUAGAGGUCAUUUCUGCAAGUGAAUCCUGAUACUCUGCUUAUGCCAUUUUCUCUUCGUCUCCUGUACCUGAAACUGCAACCCUAAAAUAAUCCUAUCUGCCGUUUCCUAUUUAGCUGUUGAUAUAACGUAUUGGAUUUCUUCUUGCAAACCAUGUUACAUUUUGCUUCAACCUUCUCUUGCUGCUUCCUGUGCUCUUGUAACACUAACUUUGGUGGAAAUAAUACUUUUCGGUUGGUAUUUA
This is a long non-coding RNA of Populus nigra (black poplar), 1574 nucleotides long. RefSeq lists it as uncharacterized. NCBI's taxonomy places the organism in Eukaryota, Viridiplantae, Streptophyta, Magnoliopsida, Malpighiales, Salicaceae. The record is from RefSeq and is a predicted model, not a curated record. The transcript is spliced from 2 exons.